AUGCUCGCUUCAGCACAUAUACUAAAAUUGCAAUGAUACAAAGAGGAUUAGGAUGGCCUCUGUGCAAGGAUGAUACACAAAUUCAUAAAAUUACUUUCAUUAUG
This is a small nuclear RNA of Ailuropoda melanoleuca (giant panda), 104 nucleotides long. NCBI's taxonomy places the organism in Eukaryota, Metazoa, Chordata, Mammalia, Carnivora, Ursidae. The record is from Ensembl.